UACGUAGGUGGCAAGCGUUGUCCGGAAUUAUUGGGCGUAAAGCGCGCGCAGGUGGUUUCUUAAGUCUGAUGUGAAAGCCCACGGCUCAACCGUGGAGGGUCAUUGGAAACUGGGGAACUUGAGUGCAGGAGAGAAGAGUGGAAUUCCACGUGUAGCGGUGAAAUGCGUAGAGAUGUGGAGGAACACCCGUGGCGAAAGCGGCUCUCUGGAACGGUACUGACGCUGAGACGCGAAAGCGUGGGGAGCGAACAGG
Molecule: ribosomal RNA, 253 nt
Filed under: uncultured bacterium
Lineage: Bacteria
Description: partial 16S ribosomal RNA
Rfam family: Bacterial small subunit ribosomal RNA
Source: RNAcentral